AUGGCUGAUAGGCCAUGUCAUCGGUUGCGUUUGUCUGCAGUGUUCUGGAAGGGCACAAACGAACCUCUGCAUCACGGCUCCCUAAUUGGAUACAACUGUGAGUUUUGCUCAGUUUCAAGAUCUUUACGUUGCAGUUCAGGAAAGCUGCCAAGAUCCCCAGUUGUUAACAAGAAUGUCAUUCCUUGUGUGUGCGAGCCUCCCUUCAGCCUGUAUUUGCUGGAGAACCUCUGCAGGUUCAAAGCGUCCCACCGUGACGACAGUCCGGGUGGGUAUUUUGGGUAUUUCGUAUCCAAGUGCUUAACUUCAGAGCACUCGAGUGAGAAGGCCGCUCCUCCUCCUCAGAUACUUGGAACCUUUCCCACUGAAGUUAUCCACCUGCAGACAGGCGGUUUGGAUGUCAUUUUGUGGUGCUGUCCCAGCCUGCAGCUCCAAGAAGCCAGGACAGACCGAGGAAAGAUCUUCAAAAAAUGACGAGCAUCUGGAUAAAGCCUGUGGGUAGCUGCUGCCUGGCAGCCUCGGGGACAUUCAGCAGCUGCCCUCCCCUGGGUGAAGGCAAGCACUGGCAAUAGGAGGCUGAGCAUCACCCCCAAAUCCACCCAUCUUCCAUCCACUGAAAGCCAUCAGAUGCUCCUAGCUGCUCCGGUACCAAAGGGAAAGGCUGAAGACCAUCUGGAUGAGAAAUCAAUAGUUCUGCCAAGGCAGAAAUACCUGCAGGCAAGGCAGGGUGGUGGUGGAGCUCCGUGUGCCCUCGCUGCCAGCCUCAGUGCUGCCAGAAGGGACUGGAGGCUGCAACAGGCGGGGCACUGGGUGAGCAGAAUGGUCCUUUCUGGACUUGAUUAAAGCCUGAGAGUUUUUACCCAGUUUUUGGAUGUUCUUCAUUGCCCUUGCAUUUGAACGGGGGCCAAAAAGGUGGGAUCCAGAUUGCAGGCAUUGUCCUGGUGCAUCUCGCUGGGCAAGGGCUGCUGUUCUUGGUCUCCGUGGGCUGCAGCGAGGUCAGCUGGCACCCCGCAGCCCUUGAGACCCAGGAUCCCUCCAGGCUGUGCUGUUUUGGUGAUGCAGGUCAGCAGUUAUCAUCCCAUGACAUGGGGCCACGCUGCCAGCUCAAGAUGCAGGCUCGGUGUAGGAGGCUGCCAAGACACCUCACCAGAUGCAUAUUGUCUCUUUGUUCCUCUGAAAACCACAAAAAAGUUUCUCCCUUCACAGUUCAGUGAUGCCCAGACAAAGAUGACGUGAAAUCUGUGGGAAGACUUAUUUUAUUACAAUAUAGGAAUUCACAGAACCAGAUGUUUAAACUUAGCCAUUGCUCCUCCAUACGAGCACCGCUGCCCAUGCUCAAUGGAACUGUUUGCAAGAUAAUUUACAACGCUUUAAACAUGUCCACUGCUGCUUGGGUCUCCAAAAGCCGCUCCGAGGCAGGGCAGAUGCCACAGCGUGUCCCCCGCGUUCCCCAGGGCCACAGGACCCAGCGGAG
This 1471-nucleotide long non-coding RNA is filed under the name Anas platyrhynchos platyrhynchos (common mallard). Its description in RNAcentral is "lncRNA (ENSAPLG00000023461.1)". Lineage: Eukaryota; Metazoa; Chordata; Aves; Anseriformes; Anatidae. The record is from RNAcentral.